RNAcentral lists this long non-coding RNA (403 nucleotides) under Bos taurus (domestic cattle). RNAcentral's name for it is "long non-coding RNA NONBTAT018421". Lineage: Eukaryota; Metazoa; Chordata; Mammalia; Artiodactyla; Bovidae. The record is from RNAcentral.
GAGCAAAGAUAGAGUGGAUGGCAAAUUCUCCCUCUCUUCCUGCUCCCAUUUAGAUGAUCUCACCUCCUUGCUCUGCUUAACUGUGGGCUUAAGUAUGGCUCCCGAUAUUGUUUGUUAACUUUAAUCAUAUUGGAGAUAAGUCUUUGAGCUUCAAUAAAAUAGCCACCUGGUAAGAAUUACAUGUGACUAGGUGGAGUGUCAUUUAUAGGUUAAGCACUCAGAAAGAGGGGCAGGUUGGGGCAUCCUAUUACUCCCAAUAGCUCUGUUCUAUACAAACAACUUUCUUUGCUGGAUAAUCUGUGCCAAAAUAUUACCAAAUAGCUUGGAAACAGGUUAGAAUUUUGCCCUUUAGGGGAGAAAAAAGACCAUGGAGUUGAAUUUGGAAGGGAAUCUUGGAAAAUAU